This 832-nucleotide long non-coding RNA is filed under the name Arabidopsis thaliana (thale cress). Its description in RNAcentral is "ncRNA (AT3G04615)". The record is from RNAcentral. Lineage: Eukaryota; Viridiplantae; Streptophyta; Magnoliopsida; Brassicales; Brassicaceae.
UCCUAAGCAAAGACUCUGCUCCAUCCACUUCAUGCUGACCUGAUGGAAUCAAUGGUCUGACCUCUGCAAACCCACAAGCGUUCUUGAACCUACCUGUUCCUCCAGUCACUGAUAGAUGCGACAUGGCGCUUCCGAUCCUGUAAAUUCCGUAGAAGUUAAGGUUGUCGUUGUACUCUCCUCCUUCAAGCAUAGCUGUGAAAGCCAUCAUCUGUGUGCUUCCAUCUGCAGAACUUGCAACAUAAACUCCUUGAGCCUUACCAAGUGGCUGUGAACCCAAGUCAGGACCAGAUGUGAGUAUAUCGUCGAUCACAGUAAUGGUACCAAACCCGAGACUGAGACCAUCAGGACCCAACUGAGUCUGAAUUCCGUUUAGGUUCUGACCAGAGUAUGCUGUACCAGACAAGCCGGUCCCAAGAGGUACACCAUUGAUGCCGUUAACCGUUGGUAGUGCGCCGUUUGCAUUGGGUAUGGCUAUACCGUUCUCAGGAGGAGUGAAACCAAUCUGCUUAGCAAAUGGAACUUGACCGUUGUAAAUGUUCCCGAGCAAACCCGUGAUGGGCCUCGCGGUGGGGCUGCUUCCUCCAAGUAAAUCGUGCAUGUAGAGUUCGAAAAUGGGGUCUUCAGGUGCAGGAUCAAGCGCUGCUACAAACACAGCAACCGUGAACAAGAUUGUUGUUAAAAGCAAGAAUGGUGAUUGCUUGAUCAUCAUGGAGAAUGUUAUCGUUAAGUGUUGCUCUGUUUUUUUUUUUUUGUGUUGGAAGAUGAUUUUGAACUGAUUGAGAUUUGUUUGAUGAAUAUAUGAAAAAAUGUGGGAAACGCUGUUUAAAUAGAG